GUAAAGGUUGCACUGCUCAGGAUUUAACAUUACAGCAGAUAUAUACGGCAAAUAGUACUAUUCAUAAUUAAACACAUGAGUAACACAAAUCAUUGCUCGACAGUUGAAAGUUGAGAAGCAGAGUGCAAGGUGCGCGAGUUUCGGGACAAAGAUUAGUUCGACCUCAUGCAGGAGGGAAAUGAUCGACAUGUCCCAGCAAACAUUGAUAAAACAGAACAAAAUGAUGAGCUUCACAGUGACAUUUCUCCAACAACAGCUUCACAACUUGUUUGAAUCAUCAUCUCCGCCGGAAUAAUCACGACAAGACUCUUCGGGCUUUCUUAACAACCUUCAAGACUUUCUUAACAACUAGACUGAAAUUAAAUAAAAACAUCUCAGUAAAAAUAGAAAAUUUGAUUAAAACUAACAAGAAAUGGGUAACAUAAUUAGAAAGUAAAUAUCAUAGCUUUCCAAAACUAUAAUAGGAGCAUGCUAGAGUGUACAACAAGCCAGCAAUAAUGUACACUAUCAUGGUUCAUAUCUCCAAACCCACUGCAAAUAGAACAUAAACUACAGUGUCAACUAUCAAACAAAAUUGAUUUAUUCUAACAUGCCAUAUGCCACUUCUAGCCUCAUUCAACUAUAGGUUCCAGAAUGCAUCAAAUAAAAUCAAAAGAUUCAGAUGAGAACUCCCUACGAAAGGUGUUUAGCUGGUGGUGCUAUCUCUGCUAUACAGAGCUGUAUUUUGACAAACUAUUGCAAGCAUCUUAUUUGGUGUCAUCCUGAUACAUGAACAAUGUGAGAAAAUGCAGACAAAUUUGUACUUAUAUAUGGUGUGAAUGCUAUAGUAAACAGAUAUAAAACACUGUAGCAUGGCAUGGCGUAUUUGCGAAACAGAACAAUAUGUGUGCCUAUAGUAAAUUUGCUAAAGAAAGAGAGCACUGGAGAAAUCUAAUUGCCUAUUUCGCAGUUCUGGAAUCUGCAGAGACAAUCAAAGCAGGCGGUGCAAACUAAAUUGAAACCAAACAGCUAUACAAUCUAUGGUCAGUUAGCAAUACCUAACCAUGAGUUUAAUUAGAGCGCAUCACACUUGGACUUUGUAGGACAUCUCUAGUUUAUAUGUGUCUCCUAAUUAAGAUGAGUCCCAUGUUUUUCUUAUUUGUUUUUACUCACCAUUAGUAGUUUCAUCUGGCGGUGCAAACUAAAUUCAAACCAAACAGCUACCGAAAGUAACUACCGUUCUUGUACUGAACAAAUAAAAGCAUAUGAACUAAGCUAGCUAGCUGGCACCAAACUGCAAAUAUCCUCUGAAAAUUGGACAACCAUUUCUGGAGGUAUUAUUUAUACGCACAACAAGGCUUCUUUUCUCAGAAAACAAGUAAUAGUGUACAUGAAUUCCAAAAUACUACUGGUACAGCAGUGCAUGCAUUUGGUAAAGAGCUGACAGGACCGUGGAUCUAUCUACAUCUAACCCCAGUGCAUGUACAUCUCAUCUUAUCUGAUCUGAUCUCGGCGAUUUGGUUGGUGCAGUUGCUUACCUGGGAGAAGAAGAGGAGGAGGCAGAGCAGGGACUGAAGAGAGCAUCGGCGGGAUUGGGGAGGGAGAAGAGGAAAGUCCCUGCAAGGCUUUGGCUCGGUCCCCGGUGAUUCCCUUGGACAGCUUCCAAUGCUGCACAAGCUUAAUUUGAAGCUCAGUGCCUACACAAUGAGCAAGGUCAGCACUACUCGCUGCGCAAUUGUUCUAGCCGAGAACAAAAUUCUUAAAUUUUGGGCAAAGGAUGUUCACAAGGGUUUGGGAUCCUAUGCGGUGACCGCAAUAUUAG
RNAcentral lists this long non-coding RNA (1801 nucleotides) under Triticum aestivum (bread wheat). Its description in RNAcentral is "long non-coding RNA (TAES_LNC010446)". Lineage: Eukaryota; Viridiplantae; Streptophyta; Magnoliopsida; Poales; Poaceae. The record is from RNAcentral.